RNAcentral lists this ribosomal RNA (446 nucleotides) under uncultured organism. RNAcentral describes it as "partial 16S ribosomal RNA". It matches the Rfam family "Bacterial small subunit ribosomal RNA", at positions 335 to 797 of the family's 1533-position model. The record is from RNAcentral.
ACUCCUGCGGGAGGCAGCAGUGGGGAAUAUUGGACAAUGGGCGCAAGCCUGAUCCAGCCAUGCCGCGUGAGUAAUGAAGGCCCUAGGGUUGUAAAGCUCUUUCACCGGUGAAGAUAAUGACGGUAACCGGAGAAGAAGCCCCGGCUAACUUCGUGCCAGCAGCCGCGGUAAUACGAAGGGGGCUAGCGUUGUUCGGAUUUACUGGGCGUAAAGCGCACGUAGGCGGACUAUCAAGUCAGGGGUGAAAUCCCGGGGCUCAACCCCGGAACUGCCUUUGAUACUGGUAGUCUUGAGUUCGAGAGAGGUGAGUGGAAUUCCGAGUGUAGAGGUGAAAUUCGUAGAUAUUCGGAGGAACACCAGUGGCGAAGGCGGCUCACUGGCUCGAUACUGACGCUGAGGUGCGAAAGCGUGGGGAGCAAACAGGAUUAGAAACCCCAGUAGUCCCA